This 1188-nucleotide long non-coding RNA is filed under the name Marmota monax (woodchuck). The record is from RNAcentral. Lineage: Eukaryota; Metazoa; Chordata; Mammalia; Rodentia; Sciuridae.
GCUUCACUUGCAUCACUGUCUUAUGUUGACUUGCAUGUUGUUGGGAAAGUUACUUAAAUUCAGCAAGCUUCAAUUUUCUGUAAAACGAGAUUUAACAGUAAUCAAUAUCUACAUCUUAAGGAUGUUAUGAGGAUGAAAUAUAAUGAUCCACAUAAGCCCUUGCCACAAGGACAAACAUGUUCAGUAUGCAUUGAUUAUUCUAAUAAGAAUAUCCAUCACUUAUAGAAUAAGGUUUUGAAUUUUCUACAAUCUAUUCAAGGAGGUAAAAGAUAUGUUCAAUGAAUGCUGCUUCUUUACCAAACCUCUUGGUAUCUCUUAAUCAUUCAUCCUUUCUUUUUACCGACCCUGGAUCAGCUAAUCCAUUCAUCAAUGCCCAAGAGUCCCUCUGUAUUCAUAGCUCAGACCCCUACCCUCCACACAAAACUGCAGAUCAAAUAUAUGCUUCUAGAAGCUCUGCUCACUGCAGGAUUUUGACUCAUCAUUGUUUUUUAGGGAUACCCUCCUUCCCAUUGAGAGUGAACUUCCAAAGAAGCAGGCUUAAAAACAGCUCUUCCAACUCUAUUGCUGUCUUUCUUAGCAGGGGAGAUAGGCAACAAUAGUCAAAGCUGAUGACACGGUCAAGCCUCAGAGAGAAAAUGGUAGUGGAACUUCCUUGAUAUCUGAUGUUUUAAUUUGUGAUAGUGAUUGAACAGAUUAAAAUCAAAGUUGCCCUAACAAAGUUAGGACUCACUGGUCCCCUCAACAAAAGAAAGGAAAAUUUGAAAACUAAGACCCACUUUAUCAACCCACUUCUCUCAAACAUACCUCUCAUAUUCUCAGUGAAACCACAAAUUUGAGCUUGGAUCUUUCUACACAAUGGUUGGCCUAUUUGUAACACAGGAAUGUAUGGAGUUAUUGACUACAGUUCUAAUCAGGCAACCCCAAAUUCUGCAUUUGCCAACAAGCUAAUGAACAAGGCCAUCUUAGUGGAGAUGGCAUUUGCUCUCUCCCCCAACUGAUUCCCUACAUCACCUUAAAGCAAACCAAGAAAAGCUAAGCUCCAGUUUCCUCAACUACAAAAGGAUUGAAUUGCUUGAUCUAACUCCAACUUUUCCAGCAGUUGUUAUAUUCAUUUUACUAAAGGAAUAGGAGGAGGAUGAGAAAUGUGGAAGAUUGUUCCUGCGCGCAUUUUUUUUUUUUUUGGUAGUA